GCAGUGGUUCUAACCUGGGGGAGGGGAGAGACGGGUGUGUGUGUGGGGGGGGAGUGUUGAUUUUGCCUCCCAGGGGACAUUUAGCAAUGUCUGGAGACAUUUUGAUCUUCGUGCUUCUGGCAGUUAGCGCCCAGAUGCUGUUAAGUACCCCACAAUUAACAGGACAGCCCCCAACAAAGAAAGAUCCACCCCCACAUGUCAAUAAUAGUGCAAGAAAUCCUGCUCUAGGGUAAUGGCAACGCCCUACAUCUUGAUUGGCUACAUGGGUGUCAAACAUAUUGGUCAAAACCCCCCAAGCUAUUUUGCUUUAAGUAAUUAUACCCCAAUUUAGAAAGACACUGAACAAAAGCAAAUCUUUUAGGGCAGCCCUACAAAUCCUGCGCUAACCACAGUGCCCUCUGGGGUUGAGAAGAGAUCUUAACCAGGAAGAGCCCAUCAAUACCCUGGCGAUGAGAAACCUGACGCACAAUGAAUGGGUAACCAAUAUAUGGGACACUUUCCCCAAGAAGUUUAGAACAUACCGAUAGAGUUUUUAGUAAUUUUAAAAACAUUUCAGAAAUAGGUCUAUGGAAGAGCAUACGAAGCUAGGAAGAGAGAACUUUUUAAGAAAACAUCAGGGCACCAACAGACCUUGCCACAGACCACGCCUCAGUGCAACAGUCAGGGAAGUGUUCAUAAAAGGUAACAAUCCCAUUAGACUGUGUAUAGCUGGAGCAUUUAUUCCACAAGUGUCUUCAUAGAUCAUAAAUUAAUAAGUUAAUUGUCACAGCAACUCUCCAAGAUACAGAAGGUGUUAAUCUUGCCACGAAUAAGCUGCAUCUUAAGAGUUUAGAUGCUGUGCUGAAGUCACCCACUCCCGGGGGUGGUCAUGGAUGGAGGAAACACAGAGCAGGGACUGAAUGGGGCCAGGGCCACAUGCAGCCCGCAACCUGAGCCUCCCGUUCCACGCCUGGACCUCACUCUGGGUACCUGGGAAUCCAAGUUCUUUGUCCAGUGACCCCCCAAGCCCACUUCUGUGGCCAGGAUGAGUCUCUUCCCUGGGUCUGUUGUCCUGCAAAUAGACCACCCCACCAGUGUGAACAUGCCGUGUUCACAGGGCAAGAGAGGAAGGUACAGUGAAAGCUUGGGUUUGUGGCUGGGUCAUUCACAUGCAAAGUUGUCCCUGUGCCUUUGUUCUCAGCAAGCACAAGCUUCUACCUAAACAGUCCCUCACGGAGUAAAGAGCCCCUGUCUCAGCUCUUUGGGUAGAUGUGUGCUGGCCAAAGGCGCAAUUACCCCUUCACGCUUCCUCAAUGGGAAUUUUUUCUUCUGUGGUUACAAUGUCACGGCCCUGACCCAUUGCAGUUCAGGUUAGAUUUAUGCGGCCAAAUCCAUUUUGGUGUCAAGUUUGAAAACAAAGCUACGCUUUCUUGGGGCACCUGGGUGGCUCAGUUGAGCGUCCAAUUCUCUGAGUUUGUCUCAGGUCAUGAUCUCACGCCUAUUGAGAUGGAGCCCUACAUGGGGCUCUGCACUGACAGCCUGGAGCCUGCUUGGGAUUCUCUCUCUCUCCCUCUCUGUGCCCCUCCCCUGCACUCUUUAAAUAAAUAAACAUUAAAUUUUUAAAAAUUAGAAACUGCUUUCUCAAACUGACUCACAUUUUGGAAUUGCAUAUAUGGGACCUCAGGCCUAUACUAGGAGUUUCAUUGAGAUCUCUUACUGCAUCCCCCCCCCCCCCCGCCGCCCCCCUGCAGACUCAUGGCCCAAGCAAGCUGUUUCUUUAAGGAAGUGAAAUGGCCGGCAAAUUCCUCCUCGAUCCAGGAAUAUCGUUGCAGCAGAAAUUCCUCGAAGUUUCCAGAAUGUGGAUGCCACACUAGAGCGCUGAGGUAGCUUCUGUUUUAUUUUCCAGCGGAAAUCAAGGAGGGGAGAAAUGUGUUUUCUCAGUGUGCUCUCUUAACCCAAAAGUCCUGCUUUUGACAUAUAACCCUGGAAGCGGGGUCAGGGAGGUCAAGAGCCGUGCACUUUCCAGUAAGGUGUCCUGUUUUGCUAAUCAAGGUCUUUACUACUAUGAGCAAGUACUAAGUUCUUUCACAGGUAUUUACUGCAGUGUCUGCCAGUGUGUGCAUGUGUGUGUGUUCUGCUUCAUGUUUCAUGGCAUCAUUUCAAAUACCCCCUUCAAUAUGCAAACCGUCUAUAAGCUGCUGUUGUGUGUUUUACCAUAUAGCUGGCCUCGUUUAUGUGUUAGGAACAUUUUAUCCAUUAAUUUAUACCAACCAAUUAUCUAUAGACCCAAGUACUACAAGCCCUUGCUUUGGCAAUUUGGAAAUCAACACAUAAGUUCUUCUGGCUUUAGGGGACAAAACACUCUAGUUCACCACUGUGUCCGUCAGAUUGGAAAUGUCUCACCUAGAGCAGCAAAGUUGUCAAAGAACUCUAAUGCGGGAAACAGACAUGUAGGGAAAAUAAAAAUUUCUUGUGUAUCUUCCUUGGUCCGUCAUAAGAACCAAAUUUUGAAUAUUUAUUGGUAUGUCCAACGGAAACAAUGGUCUGGAGCAUACCUCGACUCAACUAGUUGUGGAAGGUUUAAUCCUCUGUAGACCAGUGUGAAAGAGGUGACCAAGGAAGCCAGAUUAGAAUGAGCCCCAUUCGGCACCCGGGUGGCUCAGUCGGUUAAGUGUUCGACUUCGGCUCAGGUCAUGAUCUCAUGGUCCGUAAGUUCAAGCCCCACAUCUGACUCUGUAUUGACAGCUCAGAGCUUGGAGUCUGCUUCAGAUUCUGUGUCUUCGUCUCUCUCUGCUCCUGCCCAGCUUGCUCACUCACUCUCGCUCUCUCUCAAAAAUAACAUUAAAAAAAAAUAUUUAAGGAAUGAGCCCCCGUCUGUAUGCAAAACUCUAACCCAAAUCUCACACAUGAAGAGUCAGUGGGUCAUCAGUGAGACUUUGGUCUUUAUCUCCAGCUUCUACAUACCUUGAAACCCAAAUUCUGGACAAAGAAGUGUUUUAGGACCGGAACGCAGGGCAGCAAGGGCUCUGAAACCAAGCAGCCCUGAUCUCACCAGGUCUAGGUCUAGUGUCGGAAAUUAAUUUCACCUCUAAAACCUCACAAACCUAACUGCUCAUUAUUGAAGUGUGCCUCUUCCCAUCUACCCCAUAGAUUGGUUGGGAAAAUUAGAGAACGUUCUUGAAAGCGCUGGCCAACUCAGAAAAGGCACUCGAAAGAGGUGGCUUUGAUCAUUGUCACAAGUGAAAAAUUCUCACCCCAAGCCACUAUCUUUGUCAAAAGACCAUGAUCUAUUAUAGCUAUUAUGUUCUCCAGUCUGCACUAUCUUCUAAAAAGUUGACUAGAAACCUGGCUUCCGUUGUGAUGAUGCCCAGUCAGCCACCAACCUGUAGAAGGUGCAUUUCUUGCCACAGGUGUUGGCCAACAGAAGUGCACACGCCAGCUGCUGGGCCAACUUGCUGGAGGUGAGCAGGGGCCAAAGAUGGUUACUCAGAGCUUCAGGUUGAAGGGCUUUCUCCAUGUGCAUGACACUGAGCUAGGAGCUGGAAACCCAACUCAAAAGAGAGUCCUUGUCUUCAAAACAGCUACCAAAGGCAAUGGAAUAAGGCAGCCAAUGCCCAGCUCCAUAAGAGUACAGAAUACAGAGCUUUGAGCUUACUAAGCCCAGCAUCUGGGGGGAGCCUUGAAGAUGGGCAAAAUUUGAAGACGGGAAACUGGAAGCAAAUACGUUGCAGCGGGCGGGGGCGGGGAGUCACUUCCCUUUCACCAGCAAAAUUAUCAGAAAAAGGUAAGAGUUGACCCCCCCCCAGAGCCCCAUGGAGUCAGGCUGGCCUCUUGGGCCAGGCAUGACUCCGUGUGGGUGUUAUAUGGGGACAUGGGCACAAGCACUUCUCUGUCCCGUUCCCUCUGUGGAACUUCAGCUUUGCUUUUUUUUUCUCCUAACAACAUAAAUCUAGGGACACACUGAAAAGGAAUGUUCCUGUGCCCACUGAAGGCUAAAACUAGAGCAGACAAAAAUGGAUUCAACGAUGCUUUAGCAAUGUGUAUGCAGUCAGCUUCUAUAGCUUGAAACAUGGGGGCACAGAAUCUCGAAAUUCUGCCUCCUAAGCUACUGACUUAGGAACAGACCUCAGAUAAUCUCCUCCACUGCCAUAGGCAGAAUCUGCAGGAGAAGUCAUUCCAGAAAGUUCCUCCGAGCUUGAACAUCUGUGGCUCUCAGAGAUUUCAUUCCUGGCCCAGACUUCCUGUCUCUGCCAACCACUAUGAUUAAAAAUGCAUCCAAAGUAAACCUCAGACAACUGAACCUUCCUCAUCAACGUGGGGGGCACUUGGUGCUAGAGGGUGGUCACCCCAAGUCAUUUGUAAACGUUGCCCCAGGUGCUCAGCAGCUGGCUGGACUGGCUCAUGAAAUUUUAUCCCAGCUCCCAGCACACCAAGAAGUAACCCAGGGAAGCCAACAACCCCAUCCCACCUGUGGAAAUUAAUGGCGCCAGCUCAGCAUGUUGGCAGAGAAAAGAAAUUUACACAGCAAACAAACCUGCUGAAAAAAUUGGAAAUAUUUGCUUAACAGGAGCACAUUGAUUAAAGUCACUCCAAGAUCAAAUUACUCUCCCAGCCCCGAGCGAUUUCACCCCGGAGGGCAGCAGACUUGUAUUGGCAGAGUAUUGAUGAAAAGCUCUCUCUAUGUCUAGAUGCGCCAUAUUAAGGGCGUUAAUCUCAGAAGUGGCCCAUAAUUUUACUCCUACACUCUUCAUUUGGAAGAGUUUAAUUCCAAUACAAACAGUAAUAAGGAAAUAAAACCAUGGAUGUAUGUCUUUCCAAUACCCGUCUUUGGUAAGAAUCUUUCAUCUUUAUGGUCAAUUAAAGCUCAUCUUAAACAUAAAGUUAAGCUCGUUUCAAACAGUCUUCGAAGGUUAUUUGGGCUUUCUGAAAUCCUCUACAAUUUAAAGGAAACUAAAAAGCAGAGCCAAAGCCACUUCUUAACUACAAAGGCAAACAAGUCAUCAAAUAAAUGUUUAACAGGAGCGUCAUCACAUCACCUAUAUGGACAGCAUAUUUGUAUACGAGGAGGACAUACAUAAGGAGGGAGACAUAUCAGAGAAAUUAGCCGUUCCAAGAAAGGUCCCUCACCUGGUACCUGAAGAGAAGGGCAUUUGAGGGACAGGCCAAGGUGGGCAAGCUACAUAGGGUAGUUUAUCGGCUGUUUGAAGAGGCUGGUUGGGUCUCUAGGCCAGUGCAGCUAGCCAGCAGAGAAACCAGUUCCCUAUGGCCACCCUGAAAAUAAUUCAUAUUCCAUUUGCCACAGCACUGAGUAGGGGCAGCCUGGGCUUUGUGUGCCUCUGCUCCCUGAGAUCAGCCAUGAUGAAGCAAGAACAUCUCACACCCUGGCUCAGGUGGCUUCUCUUGUGACCCUUCGAGAGAUGAAAGAGCCCGUGCCUCACGCUAGAAAAGGACACUUCAGUGCAUGUCUUCUUGGCCCAGGUGCCUAAAUAUGCAAUAGCACCAAGGCCCAAGGACCUAAAGGUAGCAAGAAAAAAAAGCAAGACGCCUUGGCACCGACUGACUACGCAUGCCUGGACCUCCUAGCUUCUGCUGCCCUGUCUCCAGCCAGUAGCACUCCGGGCUGCCCACCCCUCCCACGCAGGGUGUUUGGACAAUGCUGAGCUCGGGCCUGGAAUCACCCUCCCUUCUUCACUCCCAAGUGUCCAUCUCCAAGCCAUAGGAACAUGCAACUCUCCCCCCAUUCAGGCCCCCCGUCUCCAGCCGAGGACAGUCUGCUCUGGCAGACUAGACGCCCAAGUUACAAUGUCAGCGAAUGUUCCAAGAAGUUCCCCUGGUGGACAAAGGAUGAGCUCCCUGCACCCUGCUGGAAAUCAGAGAAUCCACGCUUCCCACCCAGCCACCUGCCUCUGAAGAGGAUGCAGAGCCACCUUGCAGGAGAUCCCCGUCGUUUGAUUGUGAUGUGCGGUGAGCAGCCAGAUGUCACUCUGAAGAGUAAAUUUUUUGGCUGAGGAGAAAAUGCAUGUUCUACUUCCUGAUAAUUGAUUUGCAAGGUUCCACUUUCAGUAGCAAAUUGCUUCUGCUGCCCAGGUAUUUCAUAUCUCAUACGAGCACUUAGAAAACUCAAUAUUCCUUAUGCUGACCAAGAAACGACAAGAAUUGUAGUUUAAAUUUUGGAUCAUUUCUCUACUUUUAAAUACACAUCGUUCUAAGUGGUGCUGGUUACAGACAGAUCAGGGUAGUUUAAAAAACUAAUAAUGUUUAAUAGUGUUUUUUAAGUGGCCUUUAAACCCUAAGAAAAGGCCCCGCACGGAGCGCCUGGGAGGCUCAGUCGGUUAAGCGUCUGACUUUGGCCCCGGGUCAUGAUCCCACGCAGGGUUCAAGCCCCGCGUCAGGCUCUGCGCUGACGGCUCGGAGCCUGGAGCCUGCUUCCGAUUCUGUGUCUUCCUCUCUCUCUGCCCCUCCCCUGCUUGCACUCUGUCUCUCUGUGUCCCCAAAAUAAAUAUUUUUUUUUUAAUUUAAAAAAAAGAAAAGAAAAGGCUCAGCGCUCCCCAGCCAUGUAAUCAGUCCUGAUAAUAGCAGCCCUGAGCCAGGAAUUCACGGGCGCUGAAGGACUCUCGUUUACACCCGAGGAAACAGGCUGGGGUUUGCUCAGCCGUCGAUGAGGGAACCGGGGCAGGAAGCCGGGCUGCUCAGUACCCAGACCAAAAGAGAAAGAGCAGGGGACCUGGGUCAAGCUUCCAGGCCUUCAAAUCCCAGCUCUGCCCAAAUGUGAGCCUUCAAGGAACGCCCUGCAUUUCCCUCUGCAAGGCCUCGGUUUUCCCUCUGUAAACACAGCAGAUUGGGAGACAGACGCUCAAGUGUCUUCUCCAGCCUGAACACUCUGUGGCCUGAGGACCCCGGGUCAGGCUGACCCAGACUUGAUGCCCAGCUUGGCCGCUUAGUGGCUGUAUGGCUCUGACCCUCCCUUUCUUCCUCCUGCAUUUCUGUCUCAUCGAAUGUGAAACUCAAAUGAAAAACAGCUGUCGUUUUGAAAUGUUGUGGCCACUAAGGGAUUCCUGUGGGGGGCAUGCCUGGCAAGGGGGUAAGUGCCCCCGGAGGGCUGCUUUCACUAAUCAUCCCCUGGGAAAUGAGUUGAGCCUGCAAAGUUCCUCUGUCAUUCUAACCGAACUACCCAGGCCUUGUGCUCCCUUUGAGAGUUUACCUCUCAAUUAUCCAGAAUUACUCUUUUUUUUUUAAUAUGAAGUUUAUUGUCAAGUUGGUUUCCAUACAACCCCCAGUGCUCAUCCUAACAGGUGCCCUCCUCAAUGCCCAUCACCCACUUUCCCCUCUCCCUUCCACCCCCCAUCAACCCUCAGUUUAUUAUCAAUUUUUUAAGAGUCUCUUAUGGUUUGGCUCAGCUCCCUCUCUUUUUUUUCCUCCCCUCCCCCAUGGUCUUCUGUUAAGUUUCUCAGGAUCCACAUAAGAGUGAAAACAUAUGGUAUCUGUCUUUCUCUGUAUGACUUAUUUCACUUAGCAUCACACUCUCCAGGUCCAUCCACGUUGCUACAAAAGGCCAUAUUUCAUUCUUUCUCAUUGCCAUGUAGUACUCAAUUGUGUAUAUAAACCACAUCUUCUUUAUCCACUCAUCAGUUGAUGGGCAUUUAGGCCCUUUCCAUAAUUUGGCUAUUGUUGAAAGUGCUGCUAUCAACAUUGGGGUACAAGUGCCCCUAUGCAUCAGCACUCCUGGAUCCCUUGGGUAAAUUCCUAGCAGUGCUAUUGCUGGGUCAUAGGGUAGGUCUAUUUUUAAUUUUCUGAGGAACCUCCACACUGUUCUCCAGAGCAGCUGCACCAGUUUGCAUUCCCACCUACAGUGCAAGAGGGUUCCCGUUUCUCCACAUCCUCUCCAGCAUCUAUAGUCUCCUGAUUUGUUCAUUUUGGCCACUCUGACUGGCGUGAGGUGGUAUCUGAGUGUGGUUUUGAUUUGUAUUUCCCUGAUGAGGAGCGACAUUGAGCAUCUUUUCAUGUGCCUGUUGGCCAUCCGGAUGUCUUCUUUAGAGAAGUGCCUAUUCCAGAAUUACUCUUGACCGCUCUUCAGUAACUGCCCUGGGCACCACAUGAAACCUUCCACACAGGACCCGCACUCCUGAUGGGUGGGGUCAGGGCAAUCCUGACUUCCAAGGGCAAUCCUGCUGUCUGGGGACCACUGCCCCAGAACAGACCAGCCAUGGGCUGCCCCCACGCCUGCAGGUGCCCUGCUGCUGCUCAGACGGGCUGUCUCCCCCUCCUUCCCUUUUGCUUUCUCCCUCCACUUGCCCCAACCCUUCACUUUUAUCCACUUUACACCUCAUUUUCUUCCUGGCCCUUCCUUUUGUCCCCUUUUCCUAUGAAAGGCCUCACUGUGCUCCCAGGACUUGAACUUAGCCUUUCGAUGACACAAAUCCCAACUCUUCCGGGUAAAUAUUUCACUGCAACCUACAAAGGAUCACACUCCAACACAGACUAUCACGGCCCGUGUCUCCUCCAAAUGUACCUCAGUUCUUUCAAUAGGAUCCGGCCAAAACCAUCCCACAAAGACUGAAGAAAAGGCCAUGAGGUCCUGAAUGGGGACAGGGCGAGAAUAACACCAGACCCUAGAAUCCAUGCCCUCCAGAGUUGAUAGGAAAUAUAAAACUACUUGAGCCAGCAUCUCAUCUGACAAUUGGGACCCUCCUACCAUAGCUCCACUACGUGGUCCCCAUGUCAUUUUUGUUCACAUCCAAUAAGGAAACGUUUGCCUCUUGAUGUUAGCCUUGUCAUCUGUAGAGAGCUCUGAUCAUCCAAAUCCCUUCCUUAGACCAUCUCCCUGUGGUUCCUUCCUCUGUAGCUGGUUUUCUGGAUGAGGGGAUCCCAACGCGUCUCCAUGGGGACCUGUGCCCUCUUCAUGUCAGCCCUUCACAUGGAUGCCAUGCUUCUCACUCACGGGAAUCACCCCACUUGUCCCUUGAUGCUUCGUGACCAUUGCUGCCUUCAUGCAGCUGGACAAGAAGUCUGGAGAUAGAUCUCAGCCUAGGUCCAAAGUAAGGCAAUUGCAUUGAGAGAAGUGUCUGAUUCAGGGAAGGGGGUAGAACAAGUCUUAUCGGGGAAGUGCUCUUUAAGGCUCAAAUACCCCCAAGAUAUUAAGACAUCACACCCACCAAAAGAGAGCUGUGAAAUUGCAGUAAAAAAAAAAAAAAUUCUGUUCACUCAAUCCCGGAAGCCUUCUCCUUAGGAGAGGAAACAUCCCAGGGUUACAAUGCCCAGAGUCCCAAGAAAGCAGUAGGACACUCCAGGAGUGUUUGUUUUAGUAACUUUUCCUCAGUGCUCGUCCCUCCCUCUCUCCACCUAUUUCUCUUGCGCUCAUGCACAGAAAGGGUAAUCUAUCACUUCCAACACGUAGGACCCAGAUGCUAGGCUGCUGCCAGCAAAUAGGGAAGAGGAAGGUAGGGGUAUCAGGGAUUCCUUAUCAUAGAAGGUGAGCUUCAGCAGGUAUGGUCUAAAACAAAGGCAAGAGCCACUCUCUUGUAACUUUAGUUGGCCAAUAUCCCCAUCUGUUACCAUGAUUGCUAUCUGAUACUGUUUAUGUGCAGUACAUAGGGAAUAGAGAGAAACAGAGUCAUACAGACCCACAGACACAAACAGAAGAACAUGUACACACACACACACACACACACACACACACACCUUUGCUCUAUUCCAGGCUUAGCAAAGGAAAGAGAAGAUGAUGCCUUAAGCCACCACUUCACAACCUCAGCCCUCUAUUCUGGGCUUUGAAAGUGUCACACAUGUCCCUGCAAGGGGACGUCACUGUCCUCAUUUAACAAAUAGGAAAACUGAGGCUCAGAAAAGUUAAGUAACACAAGCUCUACAGCUGGAUUGCUUAGAGCCGAUAUUCAGAUCCAUAUCUGUCACAUCCUCCCGAGCCUGGGCCUCGGCACUCGCCAUUUCUCUUGAUGCAGGCCACAAAUCACCGUCACUUGAAGACGAGCCCAGCACAACCCCUAAUUCCGUGCUUCAAUACGUUCAGUGAUUUCUGCUGAUAAAUAACCACUGUCCCCGCCGAGCAAAAAAGGCACACGCAAAGGAAACAGAGAUGAGCAGUCAGCAGGAGUUGCUCUGGUCCCGUUCGUCACAGCACCAACUAUUUUAGAAUCACUGUAAUAGCACACGAUAUGCAACUCUUCCUUUUUGUCUCAGAGUUUUCUGUUUGGGCAGGACCCCGAGGGGCCUGAAAAGCUGAAAACAGCAGUGACGCUGGGCGCCCCCAUCACGAAGUCAUGUGGUGGACAUAGCAGUCUGUGGGUGCAGGAGGCAGAAUGCCACCUCUGCCUGCAAGGGCCGGUCACCCACCUCCUUCCUUCAAAAGGUGGCAAGAGAGAGAAAGUUUCUUCAGAGGAGUUGAGCUGGGCUGUAGGGAUUCCCACACACCUCCACUGUAUGUCCUCCCUGCCUGGUGGCCCAGCACUGGACCAAGGUUUACUUCCACAGGUAGCUGGCAAAGGUAAGUGGGGUUUUGUGGUUGCUGUUUGCGGGGAAGAGCCAGCCAAAGGUCCCAUCCAAGAGGAUCCUCAAGAUAUUAAUUAUUCUAGCUUCAUCUUAAAUCUUUGUAUCCAGUGAAUAUCCUCCCCAGUUUGUGCUUCUUCAGGGAGGCCUUGGCGGUCCCUUGAUCUUCUAUUGAAAACUUCAGUUUGUGAUACACCAAUGGAAAUUCCAUUUGGAAUUGUUAUAGAUCAAUUUGGGGAACAUUAUCUCCCUUAUGGUAUUCAAUUAUCCUAUCCAUUAACAUGGUAUGUAUUUUCAUUUACUUAGGUAUUUUUUAAAGACCUAACAAAAUUGAUAAACCCCUAGCCAGAUUUAUCAAAAAGAAAAAGGAAAGGACCCAAAUAAAUCAGGUCACGAAUGAAAGAGGAGAGAUCACAACCCACACCACAGAAAUACAAGCAAUAAUAAGAGAAUAUUAUGAGCAAUCAGAUGCCAACAAAUUGCACAAUCUAAAGACCUAAAUGAACUUUUAUAUAUUUCAUCUGCAAGAGUCUUACAUAUCUGGUUUUAGAUUUAUCUCCCAGGUACCGUAUUUCUAUUUGUUUUAAAUGCUAUCACAUAUUCUGAUGGCUACCUAGAAAUGCAACUUAAAUUGUGUUCAUUUUAUAUUCACAGAAACUAUUAAUAAUUUUAAUAAUUUGCCUGUAGAUCUUUUAGGCUUUCUGUAUAGAAUUUCAUGUCUAAGUAAUAACGUUCUUCCUUCAUUUCAUUUAAUUUGUUGCUUUGUCUAGGAUUGCAGUACAAAGUUUAAAAGAUGCAGCUUGAGUAGGCAUCCUUGUUCUGCUUCUUAUUUUAAAGUGUUUCUAAAGGUUCAUCAUUAAGUAUGAGACUUGCCAUGGAUUAUUUAGGGAAGUGCCUUUAUCAGAUUUUAAAAGUUCUCCUACUUCACUGCGAAUAUUUACCAUGAAUAAAUGCUAAAUUGUAUUGAAUAACUCCUCUAUAUCAAUUGCAAAGUGUGUAUGCUUUUUCUUCCUUAAUUUCUGUAAUCUAAUGAACACCAUUAAUUUCCCAUCUAACUUAAUCUUACAUUCUGGGUUUACUCUAGUAAAACCUUUUCACUGUAAAGCAUAUUCUGCCUGACAUGAAUAUAGCUCCGUGAAUGAGCUAUUUGAAUGAGCCUUUACAGACUAUUUGCUAAUAAAUCUUUUCAUGUUUA
Long non-coding RNA from Panthera uncia (snow leopard), 11671 nucleotides. RefSeq lists it as uncharacterized. The record is from RefSeq and is a predicted model, not a curated record. The transcript is spliced from 2 exons. NCBI's taxonomy places the organism in Eukaryota, Metazoa, Chordata, Mammalia, Carnivora, Felidae.